RNAcentral lists this ribosomal RNA (504 nucleotides) under uncultured bacterium. RNAcentral describes it as "partial 16S ribosomal RNA". It matches the Rfam family "Bacterial small subunit ribosomal RNA", at positions 30 to 523 of the family's 1533-position model. The record is from RNAcentral.
AUUGAACGCUGGCGGCAGGCCUAACACAUGCAAGUCGAACGGUAGCACAGAGAGCUUGCUCUCGGGUGACGAGUGGCGGACGGGUGAGUAAUGUCUGGGAAACUGCCCGAUGGAGGGGGAUAACUACUGGAAACGGUAGCUAAUACCGCAUAACGUCUUCGGACCAAAGUGGGGGACCUUCGGGCCUCACACCAUCGGAUGUGCCCAGAUGGGAUUAGCUAGUAGGUGGGGUAAUGGCUCACCUAGGCGACGAUCGCUAGCUGGUCUGAGAGGAUGGCCAGCCACACUUGAACAGAGACACGGUCCAGACUCCUACGGGAGGCAGCAGUGGGGAAUAUUGCACAAUGGGCGCAAGCCGGAUGCAGCCAUGCCGCGUGUAUGAAGAAGGCCUUCGGGUUGUAAAGUACUUUCAGCGGGGAGGAAGGCGGUGGAGUUAAUAGCUUCAUCGAUUGACGUUACCCGCAGAAGAAGCACCGGCUAACUCCGUGCCAGCCGCCGCAGUAA